CCACGGUUAAGGCUCUGACCCACAAACUAGCGAACGAGUUGUACAAGAAGGCGGUGGACUCGGCGAAUUGGUCACUCAGGAGCCAAGAAUCGAACAACCGUGGAUGUGGUGGUGGUGACGUCAGCAGAUACGACGAGGACGCCAUUUGAGCACGCUCUUGACUUCUUGCUACACGAUUUUGAGAUGGCAGUUGUAGAUGAAAGAGGGUACGAGCAUUUGUUAUACAAAAUGGCUGAAGAGUUUCUUUUUACAUCUGAGGGCAAAAUCUUGGAUAGUCGAUUCCAAAUAAACAAGGUAGUUCGGGAGUUACAGCACUCGAGAAACGGCAUGACGGUAACAACGGAGGAUGGUUGCAUCUACGAAGCCAAUUACUUGAUUCUUUCUGUCAGCAUCGGUGUUCUACAAAGCGACCUCAUUUCCUUCAGACCCUUCUUGCCCAGGUGGAAAAUGGAGGCCAUUCAGACAUGUGAAGUGAUGGUGUAGGCAAAGAUCUUCUUAAAAUUUCCACAUAAGUUCUGGCCUUGUGGACCUGGAAAAGAGUUCUUCAUGUAUGCUCACAAGAGGAGGGGAUACUACACGUUCUGGCAGCACAUGGAGAAUGCAUUCCCUGGUUCAAAUAUCCUGGUUGUAACAUUGACGAAUGGGGAAUCAAAACGUGUAGAAGCCCAGUCAGAUGAAGAAACAUUGAAAGAAGCUAUGGGGGUUCUUAGAAACAUGUUUGGACCAACAUACCCAAUGCCACUGAUAUUCUAGUGCCUCGUUGGUAUUAUAACGGGUUCCAAUGUGGCAGCUACAGCAACUAUCCAAUCAUCUCUAAUAAUCAACUUGUUCACAAUAUUUAGGCCCCAGUGGGAUGCAUCUUCUUUACUGGUGAACACACAAGUGAACAAUUUAGUGGUUAUGUCCAUGGUGGAUACUUAGCAGGUAUCGACAUUAGUAAAGCUUUGUUAGAUGAAAUAAGGAAAGAAAGAAAAACUGAGAAUCAAAAUCAUUUGUUAGAGCCCUUGUUAGCAUUGACUGGGUCGUUAACUUUGACACAAGCAGAUGCAGUCUCAAGUCUGCACAAAUGUGAUAUUCCCACUCAAUUAUAUCUUAGUGGGAAACUCAAUAUUCCAGAAGCUAUAUUGUGACUAUAUGGACCUAUACAAAAAUGGCACUUUGUCGAUGAUGAUGAUGACGAUAAAAAUAUGACCAAUGAGACUGCUGGCCUAAUGGAUUUGGUUCUGCAUUCAGUUCAAGCCCUUGAGUCCAUCCAUAUGCUAGAAUGAAUUGAGAUACAAAAGGCAGGUUACGGAAGAAAUGCAAAAGGUUGCUUGGACUAUAUGUGUAGCUGCUACAUUCAUGAUCAUAAUAGAGCCGAGUUUUGGAUUCUUGAAGGGAUUUUGGUUUGGGCAUACGUAUAAAGGAUUGUUUAUUGGAAGGACUGAGAUUAAGAAUAGGAAAGGCCUUACAAUUCUAAUUUUACAUGUACCAAGUCUCACUUGACCCACUCUUAUUUCUAAUUCUAUUUGAAUAAUUGAUUAUGCAGAGAUUUCUAAUUCGUCCCAUCAAACCCAAUGGCAAUCUAAUUGGUAAGCUAGUAAAUGAGGCCAUAAGUGUAUUAAUACUUUUAUCAUUGUAGACUCAGAUUCAAAUAAAGGUAAUUUAAAAUUCAAUGCAAUAUAUAUUUGUCCUUAG
RNA transcript from Quercus lobata, 1677 nucleotides. It is a transcript of the gene named polyamine oxidase 1-like, with no coding region annotated. Lineage: Eukaryota; Viridiplantae; Streptophyta; Magnoliopsida; Fagales; Fagaceae. The record is from RefSeq and is a predicted model, not a curated record. The transcript is spliced from 9 exons.